CCUACGGGUGGCAGCAGUGAGGAAUAUUGGUCAAUGGACGAGAGUCUGAACCAGCCAAGUAGCGUGAAGGAUGACUGCCCUAUGGGUUGUAAACUUCUUUUAUAUGGGAAUAAAAUGUUCCACGUGUGGGAUUUUGUAUGUACCAUAUGAAUAAGGCUCGGCUAACUCAGUGCCAGCAGCCGCGGUAAUACGGAGGAUCCGAGCGUUAUCCGGAUUUAUUGGGUUUAAAGGGGGCGUAGGUGGAUUGUUAAGUCCGUUGUGAAAGUUUGCGGCUCAACCGUAAAAGUGCAGUUGAAACUGGCAGUCUUGAGUACAGUAGAGGUGGGCGGAAUUCGUGGUGUAGCGGUGAAAUGCUUAGAUAUCACGAAGAACGCCGAUUGCGAAGGCAGUUCACUGGACUGCAACUGACACUGAGGCUCGAAAGUGUGGGUAUCAAACAGGAUUAGAUACCCUGGUAGUC
Molecule: ribosomal RNA, 460 nt
Filed under: uncultured bacterium
Lineage: Bacteria
Description: partial 16S ribosomal RNA
Rfam family: Bacterial small subunit ribosomal RNA
Source: RNAcentral